Long non-coding RNA from Anolis carolinensis (green anole), 2413 nucleotides. RefSeq lists it as uncharacterized. Lineage: Eukaryota; Metazoa; Chordata; Lepidosauria; Squamata; Anolidae. The transcript is spliced from 2 exons. The record is from RefSeq and is a predicted model, not a curated record.
UCUUUUUUUGCAGAGAACUGGCAAAGAUCAUCAUAGUGCUGGUGAAGAGGGUUGCCUGGGUGUCCUUCAAUGAAACCUCAGAGAAGAUGCUAGAAGAACCCAGCAUCUGGUGUGGUGGCCUUCUAUAUCCAGUUGCUGCACAUUGGCCAGUGCCCUCACUCCCCAGAGAAGACUUGGAUGCUGCUGAUGGCCUGGCUCCAACAUCGCAGCCUAGCCGUUCAACAUCAGAGCAGGCAGGGCCUUCUCCUUCUCUGCAAAUCAGGUAGGUCCAAGGUGGGCUCCUUCUGCUGGGAGGCAAGUGCGGGCAAAGAGUUCUGUAACACGGAGGUUUGUAAAGAGCUCAGUCUCCUUUGGGAAAUUAUUCGUGUUUGGGGUGGAAGGAAAAUGAAGCCAACAAUGUUAAGUCUGAUCUGCUCAAGAGUGUAGAGACUCCAAGUGCACAGAGAAACUCAGGCAGCUGGGUGUCAUAGGGCAGAAAGGAAAAAAGAGAAGUGAAGGGUCAAUGUCAACCAAGGAAGGUUCACCUUGGGGUCUCCUUUAGCUCUGGCCCAAAGAGAGGCACCAAUGGAAGGAGACCCAAGCCCUGCUUUGUCUGCCCUUUGCAGCUUUCUCUCCCCCACCUCAUUCCAAUAGUCCUAUUACAUUUAUUUGUUCAUGUCCUCCUCAUUCUGCAAGCUGAGAUAGCCCAGCACAGGCACUGAAAAACUGGCAGAAAACCAUCAAUAUCCCUCCUCACCUUAGGCAGCAAAUGAUUUCAGUCUAUUUCUGCCUCUUGACCUUCCUUGCCUUUUGCUACCAAAAAGCUGUGUGAAUAGACUAAUCAAAGAAAAUGAUGCAGAGUAAGCAUACAUCGCCAGACAUCUUCUGCUUCAUAAUUCAUGCUAUAUUCGCAUUUGUUUAGAAUUGCCUUCUUUGUUUUUCUUUGCACCCCUUCUUUUUUCUUUCUCUUUUUGCAAGCCAAAACUUGAAGUUGUCCUUGUUAUUUCAAUGAAUUUACAAAGAUUAGGGGCCCAACUGCACCACCAGGACACAUUUUCACUGGGAUUCACUCUUGUCAUGUGACAGUAGCCAACUCAAUGAAAUAUCUCUACCCAGGGAGAGUUAGAGAGAAUGGUGACUUUCUUGGACUAGCUAAAUUCCUUCACAGAGCUUUUUUUAGUGAGUUGGUGACAUGAUUAUUGGUGUGCCUUAUCUUGAAAUCUUUAUUUUGUGAAACAGCUUGCAAAGGCUUGCAGUUUCAUCCUUCUUUUAUUUCAACCUUUAAUUCAGCCUCCCUGGCUUAGUUCAUCCUAUAUAACAGGGAAAUAUGGGCACCACCAGAUGAUGCUGAACAACAAAUCCCAUCAUUCCUUGCCAGUGCCUGUGCUGGGUAGACUUUUGGGGAGAAGCUGUUGUAGAUCAGCCUGAGACUGAUGGGUUCACCAAUGUUUCAGAGAGAAUUGUGGGAUUGCCUGUGGGAUUUCCAGGGGCACAAAGUGAUGGAGAUUUAAGUCAAGGGAGUAAUGCUUCUUUCAUUGAGAAAGCUGACUGGGAAAAUGCAGGCCUUCAAGGUCAGUCAAAGCAGUCAGAGACAUUAGAUAAGGAGGAGUCGAGUGGAGAAUUAAGUGAUACUGAAGGCUCCCAGGAAAAAGCACCUGGAGAUAUAAAAAUCAACACAGGCCUUCGUUUGCAGAUCAGACCAGACAAUAGACAUCGCAGGGCAGAGUGUUUGUGUGGGAAAGCUGGGGAGAGAUUUCAGGGGAGAUGAAAUGAUUUCAUGGGCAGCUUUUAAUUGGCAAGUUGUUUAAUUUCAAGUUAGUUCAGGCAACAUAGUGUCUGGAGUAAGAAGCUAGGCCUGAGUGUCUGGUCCAUGUUUCAAGUUAAGCCUUUGGUUUUGGGAUUCAAAUAAAUUGUAAAGUUUCUAUGUUCCUGUGGUUAUAUUCAUGAUCAAGUGGCUUAAGCUGUUCUUGCAUUUUUUGGCUAUUCCUGGACUAUAUUACCUUUGAAUCUGUUUAAGACAUUUGGACUCCUGUUGGAUUAUUGCUUAUUGCUAAACCCUUUUUGGAUAUACUUCUUCUUUCUCUAUUCCUGAAUUUUUCCAGACCUGGAGUGCAACAGAUGCAACCAAACAUCAAUUGGAGAGACAAGGUUAUCCACCCCCACUCCAAUCUAAAUAAUUAUUGGAAGGCUAAGUGCCAUGCCAGUUUGCAAUAUGGAUGUGAUCAUCAUCUUCUUUCUUUUUUUCAGUAGCUCUAACUCAACCACAGCUUGUUUUUUUUCUCAUUAGUGUGUGUAGACCAAAGCCAGAGUCAGAUGUAAUGGGAGUGAGGAUCACUGUAAACAUUGAGACUGAAAACAGAUUAAGCUUUCACUGCCUGAGUCUGACCUUAGGUUUAUUAACCAUUCUGUCUAUUAAUAAAGUGUAGUCCUCAGA